Long non-coding RNA from Homo sapiens (human), 1487 nucleotides. Ensembl annotates it as RAB30 divergent transcript. Its record names the gene RAB30-DT. The record is from Ensembl. NCBI's taxonomy places the organism in Eukaryota, Metazoa, Chordata, Mammalia, Primates, Hominidae.
GGAGUACUGGGACGAUUCCGCGGAGCCGGGCAGAGGUUUUAGGGGUGCGCAGGAGUCAAGUGGUGGUUCAGUGGGGACGGUGAGGUGGAGGACGAUCUGGUCGGAUAGCCGCGGGCACGAACCUGGGAACCAGAGGGUGGAGGCCAUGCUGGGGACUGAUGUAGGGCGGGACCGACUGGAAGCGGCAUCCAGAGGCCCAGUGAGCCUCGGUCUCAGCUCCUGAAGGGGUUGCAUGGGGCCCUACGCUUCCUUCUCCAUUUUUUAGCUAAGAGAUUGAGAGAGUCGGUUUACUUUUGGGCUUGGAGUAUCAUUUAGAUCUGUUAACAGUACAGUUGAGAGAGUUGGUGUCUUUUGUUGAGGUGCGAGGACCCGAGGCGGCGACCCUCGCCUUUAUUCGGAGAAGCCCACUUCCACCCACAGAGUUGGGGUAGUCCUCCGAAAUGCAUUUUUGUUUUGCCGUUUGUUUUCCAACCCCCUUUCACUCUCCCCAAAGCUUCAGAUUCACUGAUUUUUCAUACAGGAAUGAUUAACAAAGGCGUCCGAAGAAAUCGUUGUUGGAAGGUGACCAAGGUGGAAAGAGACGUUGCUUUGGCCCUGCAAGUAAGAAGAGAGAGGGAAUAGCCUGAAGGAGUAACACUAAAUUUAAAAUGACACUUUUUUACCAACCAGCGAAAGCAGAUGUUCAAAGGGGAUAUUGGCCAGGUGCGGUCGCUCACGCCUUUAAUCCCAGCACUUUGGGGGCAGACGCGGGGAGAUAGCGUGAUUCUAGGAGUUCAACCCCAGCCUGGGCAACAUGCGGAGACCCCGUACCGUCUCUACAAAAACAUUAAACAAAAAAAUUAGCUGGGCAUGGUGGUGUACCCCUGUAGUUGCAGCUACACUAGAGGCUGAGGUGGGAGGAUCGCUUGAGCCCGGGAUGUUGAGGCUGCAGUGAGCCUCGAUCCUACCACUGUGCUCCAGCCUGGGCGACAGCAAGCCCGUGUCUCAGAAAAGGCGGGAGGGGUGGGAUAUUAUUGAUGAUAGGCCUUCUGACGUCUGGCAAUAGAUUCCAGAGUAACAUCGGUCAUGGAUAAAUUUUUUUUUUAACUAAGUGACUGAAACCAAAGUUAAUUGUCUUUUGAGUGAUUUUGCACAGUAUCUCAAAAUGAACUGUACUUUUUUUCUUGUGUCACUGAAACAGUGCUGUGUGUUCUUUUUCAGAGUCUGUCACACUAAGAUGAGAAAUGUCCUUUCUUCCUGAAGGUGUCUGAUGUGUAAAAAUAUGAUAUACUUUGUGCUGUUUCCUCCCUUCCCUUUUGCAUAUUAUUCUGAAACAACAUUAACUAGUUACUUUGCGUCAUUGAAGGUAUGCACUUCCCCUCUAUGUUAGGAGUGAAUAAAAUUAAAAAUAGAUCCUUAUAACAAAGAAAGGCAGAUAGAAUGAUUAAAAAUGACCAAAACAUGUUAGAAACAGUCUCUCAGGUGUAUGCAGAUGGUAAUUACAAAAA